UACGAAGGGUGCGAGCGUUAUUCGGAAUCACUGGGCGUAAAGGGUGCGUAGACGGUAUGUUAAGUUCGUUGUUAAAGGCUCCAGCCUAACUGGAGUAUCGCAAUGAAAACUGGCAAACUAGAGGGUGAGAGAGAGAAGUGGAAUUCCUGGAGUAGCGGUAAAAUGCGUGGAUCUCAGGAGGAACACCAAUGGCGAAGGCAGCUUCUUGGCUCAUUCCUGACGUUGAGGCACGAAAGCGUGGGGAGCAAAC
Molecule: ribosomal RNA, 250 nt
Filed under: uncultured bacterium
Lineage: Bacteria
Description: partial 16S ribosomal RNA
Rfam family: Bacterial small subunit ribosomal RNA
Source: RNAcentral